Lycium barbarum (goji berry) is the source of this 811-nucleotide long non-coding RNA. RefSeq lists it as uncharacterized. The record is from RefSeq and is a predicted model, not a curated record. The transcript is spliced from 2 exons. Lineage: Eukaryota; Viridiplantae; Streptophyta; Magnoliopsida; Solanales; Solanaceae.
AAAGAAAUCUCUCUCAUCUGAUUUUAGAGUGUAGCAGUGACCAAGAAACAAUCUUUCUCAUUUUCUUGCUUCAAGACGCACCAAAUCUCUCCAUUCCAGUCAAGGUCUCACCAUUUCGGGCAAGAAGUGAACCAAAUCACGUGAAGACUGAGCCCAUCCAAACCACAACGUUCAAAUUCAAACGGUUGUGUUGACUAAAUUUCAAACCUGGUGUUUAACAUCCCGCCUAAACUAUCCCUAAUCUGCUCCUCUAAAAUACCACCUUACAUCUCCAGCAGAAGGACAAGUUUUUCUAGCCGCCAUUCCCCCCUGGAGUUAGUAAUCUCCUUAAUACUGUUUUUCGGUCAAAGCACUAAGUUCAUCUUGCUAUCUUAUUAUCUCUGUUAAAAUCUCGGAUCUGAGCAUCGUUUGUGUUCGAGGGUAGAUUGGAGACCCAAAGCCCUAUUUCAUUGCCACCGUAGCAGUUGCGAGGAGUGUCAAACGAGAUUCAAUCUCAUCAGUACAUCCAGGAAAACUUGCAUUUCAUCCUUUCAAGCACCUCUCUCGUUCCCUUGUGAUACCUCCGAACAAAAAUGAAAGGCAAACAACGGGAAAUACAGAACUCGCGUCCGCUUCUUCGUUCACUCCUUUCCCUUUCUGGAAAAGAAAGAGCGGACUGUUUCAUUUUUUAGAUUAGUUAACUGUUUUGUUUUCUUAUUUGUGAUUGUUUAUUUGAUUCGUUUAAAUUUAUCGACAUUAGAACACCUAGUUUAGAGGGGGAAUCGGUAUAUUAUUUCAACGAGUAUCGAAAAGUAAUGCUUUCUUUCAAAAA